UUUGUUCAUAUCGGCGACCCAUUUUAUGAAAUUCAUGUGAUAAUUUUAUAUUUUGCAACAUUGGCUGUUUUAUGCGAAUAAAAGAUUUCCAAGUACAGAGAUGGCACUAUUCAUCUACAAAGCACUGUUGGGUAUAGGGGUCAUAGUAGCACUUGCAGCUUUCUAUGCACGACCAGUCUAUCCUGAAACUGCCAGCAACUGAGGGUUGAAGACUUUCAAUGGACUUGCCAUCAAAUUCAUCGGUGUUUUGAGUCAUAUUGGUGGAUAUUUUGGAUUUUCGCCUGUUAACAGCACGAGAUCAAUGUUGAACAUCAUAACUUUUAUGGACAAGAAAUCGCCCAACGUCGAGAGAUAUACAACGACAAUGGAUGGAGUAGAGGUGAUUGUAUUUAAGCCAGCUGGACAUACUGAUGACCUCCGUGCCGGAAUAGUUCAUUACCAUGGUGGAGGAUGGGUCCAUAUGUCGCCAGAUAUGUAUGCUGCUUUCAUCGAGGAGGUCGUGGAAGAAACUGGAAGUGUUCUUGUCUCCGUAAAG
Molecule: long non-coding RNA, 535 nt
Organism: Mercenaria mercenaria
Lineage: Eukaryota; Metazoa; Mollusca; Bivalvia; Venerida; Veneridae
Exons: 5
Source: RefSeq, a predicted model, not a curated record